RNAcentral lists this ribosomal RNA (1107 nucleotides) under Trichomonas vaginalis G3. RNAcentral's name for it is "28S ribosomal RNA". It matches the Rfam family "Eukaryotic large subunit ribosomal RNA", at positions 1 to 1407 of the family's 3401-position model. Lineage: Eukaryota; Parabasalia; Trichomonadida; Trichomonadidae. The record is from RNAcentral.
CGUAGUCUGCCAUACGCAGGAAGACCCGCUGAACUGAAGCAUCUCAUUAAGCGGAGGAAAAGAAACUAACUAGGAUUCCCUUAGUAAAGGCGAUCGAAAAGGGAACAGCCCAACGUCUUAAUCCCGCAAGGGAAAUGUAGUCGGUUCACCUAUUGCACUGGUCUAAGUCAGAUGGAAUGCUGCGCGAUUCAAAGUAAAAGCCUCGUAUGACCAACCGCAAGCUUACGAUGGACCGGGGAGAGUCGGAUACUUUGAGAGUAGUGUCUUAAGGGGGUGGUAUGUCCCAUCCAAGGCUAAAUAACGUGAGGAGACCGAUAGAUUACAAGUAGUGUGAACGAAAGAUGAAAAGAACUCUAAAACAGAGGGUGAAAAGUUCCUGAACUUGCUUAGGGUUAAGGCUAUUUAUAGUACCCGUCUUGAAACACGGAUUAGGGAGUUUAUCUGUAGUGCGAGUCUUUGCACGUUAACUGUAAAGGCGUAGAGAAAGCAACUGGCGUUUGCAUGGCUACUGAGCAUUACUGAUAGGACCCGAAAGGUGGUGAACUUUGCCUGCACAGGUUGAAGUCAGGGGAAACUCUGAUGGAGGACCGUACGGGUUAUUGAUGUGCAAAUCAUUUUUCUGAUGUAGGUAAAGGUGCGAAAGACUCAUCGAACCACCUAAUAGCUGGUUUCCUCCGAAGUUUCCCUCAGGAUAGCUGUAAUGCAUUUAGUUAAGGGGAGUAGAGAUAUGGGUAGAGGUGCAGGGAGCCUUCGGGUUCUCAACUUAUUUCCAAACUUCGAACCUCCUUGUUAGGCAUUUACCUAACUGGAAAUGCUUAAAUGAAUUAGCGUUACAAGUGGGCUCUGACCGGUAAGCGGUCAUGGCGAAAUGGGAUGAACCAUACGUCUGAAUAAGGUGCCGAAAUGUACUAUCACUGAUACCAUAAAGGGAGUCCAUGUAUUUAGACAGCAGGUCGGUGCCCCUAAAAGCAGGUAUCCGCUAAAGAGUGUGUUAAAACUCACCUGCCGAAUACUACGGGCCCCGAAAAUGAUGGCGCAUAUAGUACUACGAUCUCAGACAUCAGUUCUAUUGAACUGAGAGUAGGGGAUGUGGACAUUUUUUGUGAA